Micropterus dolomieu (smallmouth bass) is the source of this 785-nucleotide long non-coding RNA. RefSeq lists it as uncharacterized. The transcript has 2 exons. The record is from RefSeq and is a predicted model, not a curated record. Lineage: Eukaryota; Metazoa; Chordata; Actinopteri; Centrarchiformes; Centrarchidae.
CUAACUUUUACUUUCUAUCUUUGUGUUUCUUUGGCUGAUUGUUUACAACUGCCCUCAUGUGUCUCACCUGUAUCCAAUCAUCCUGCCCUCUCUGCUGCAUAUUUUAAAAGACUCUGUUACUAGCAACAUUCCCGGCUCAGAGGCGGAUCAAAUCAGACCCCCUUUCCGGCUCUGUACCUUUCAUCACAGCGAGGCUGCUUGUGACAGGGCGAGAAAAUGCCUCAUGUUGUUUUUAGUGCUGUGUUCACACACCUCUGCUGACGUCACCAGAUUGGCAACAAGCAACAGGUGGGGACCCCGAGCAACAGAUUGAACAGAACUCCUUUUAAGCGGCGUGAAGCAGGACAGCAGGUGAGCAUCAGCGGCAGGAAGCAGCAGUGGAGGCGGCAGGGACAAGAGAGCUGAAGGGAAGCAGCUGGGCCGGGUCGGACAGAGCCCCCCCCCCCCCCCCAAAAAUUGUGGAGGCUCUGCGGCCCCUCUCACCCCUUCCAAAAGACGCAAAAUGGUUUUGCCCGUCCCGCAUUAGGAUUCAUCUCUUAGCGGUCUAAUGGAGCAGAGAGUGAUGGCUGGUGCUGGAGCUUCAACAUUCCUGUCAUGUCUGUCCCCAAGAAAGGGAAACCAGGUUACCAGAAAGAAAAGAAAGAAAGAGAUGGAAAGCACAGUGACGGAAAUUAGCUGCCAAGUAAUUUCUUUCAAAAGAAAAGAUGAGCACAGUCACAGUUAACUGGCAGUUAAAGAAUGGUUUCAGCUGAUAUCAGCAGUUUACAUUAAAGGCUGGAAUCUAG